GCCUGGCUGGCUCAGUCAGUGGAGCAUGCCCCUCUCGAUCUCAGGUUUAUAGGUUCGAGUCCUAUGCUGGGUA
This 73-nucleotide transfer RNA is filed under the name Canis lupus familiaris (dog). It matches the Rfam family "tRNA". From Rfam's summary of the family: Transfer RNA (tRNA) molecules are approximately 80 nucleotides in length. Their secondary structure includes four short double-helical elements and three loops (D, anti-codon, and T loops). Further hydrogen bonds mediate the characteristic L-shaped molecular structure. tRNAs have two regions of fundamental functional importance: the anti-codon, which is responsible for specific mRNA codon recognition, and the 3' end, to which the tRNAs corresponding amino acid is attached (by aminoacyl-tRNA synthetases). tRNAs cope with the degeneracy of the genetic code in two manners: having more than one tRNA (with a specific anti-codon) for a particular amino acid; and 'wobble' base-pairing, i.e. permitting non-standard base-pairing at the 3rd anti-codon position. The record is from Rfam by way of RNAcentral. Lineage: Eukaryota; Metazoa; Chordata; Mammalia; Carnivora; Canidae. RNAcentral also lists the same sequence under 1 other name.